UCCGGGUCAUUUUUAUUAAAUUCAUACUGUUUCUAUGUUAAGAAAUAGGUUAACCUGUUCGUGAAUUGACGACAACGUUUAACAAGUGCAAUUGUCCUUUGAAAUCAGCUCAUAUUCAGUUAAAUUUCAUACCGUGCGCAGGCAAGAAACAAAAAGAUAUUUGAGUAUGUUAUGUGUUCAUUCCUUUGUAAGAUUGUGUAUAAAUAUAAAGUUGUUUCUUGC
Molecule: long non-coding RNA, 222 nt
Filed under: Mytilus galloprovincialis (Mediterranean mussel)
Lineage: Eukaryota; Metazoa; Mollusca; Bivalvia; Mytilida; Mytilidae
Source: RNAcentral